Molecule: ribosomal RNA, 592 nt
Filed under: Kyphosus vaigiensis (brassy chub)
Lineage: Eukaryota; Metazoa; Chordata; Actinopteri; Centrarchiformes; Kyphosidae
Description: partial 16S ribosomal RNA
Rfam family: Bacterial large subunit ribosomal RNA
Source: RNAcentral
AAAAACAUCGCCUCUUGCAAAACUGAGGAAUAAGAGGUCCCGCCUGCCCUGUGACUAUAUGUUUAACGGCCGCGGUAUUUUGACCGUGCGAAGGUAGCGCAAUCACUUGUCUUUUAAAUGGAGACCUGUAUGAAUGGCAUAACGAGGGCUUAGCUGUCUCCUUUUUCAAGUCAAUGAAAUUGAUCUCCCCGUGCAGAAGCGGGGAUAACACCAUAAGACGAGAAGACCCUAUGGAGCUUUAGACACCAAGGCAGAUCAUGUUAAACACCCCUUCACAAAGGACUAAACCAGAUGAACCCUGCCCUAAUGUCUUUGGUUGGGGCGACCGCGGGGAAACAAAAAACCCCCAUGUGGAAUGGGAACACUCCUUCCUACAACUAAGAGCUCCCGCUCUAAUGACCAGAACUUCUGACCAAUCAGAUCCGGCAACGCCGAUCAACGAACCGAGUUACCCUAGGGAUAACAGCGCAAUCCCCUUUUAGAGCCCAUAUCGACAAGGGGGUUUACGACCUCGAUGUUGGAUCAGGACAUCCUAAUGGUGCAGCCGCUAUUAAGGGUUCGUUUGUUCAACGAUUAAAGUCCUACGUGAUCU